Molecule: long non-coding RNA, 202 nt
Filed under: Pelobates cultripes (western spadefoot toad)
Lineage: Eukaryota; Metazoa; Chordata; Amphibia; Anura; Pelobatidae
Source: RNAcentral
CAAUAAGGGUGUGGAAUUCUCUGCCUGAAGAAGUGUUUUUUUCACAGUCCAUACAGAUGUUCAAACAGCUACUAGAUGCAUACUUGCAAAAACAGAAUAUUCAAGGAUAUAAUCUUUCAAUGUAGGUUAAUAACUGCUCGAUCCAAGGAUAAAUCUGACUGCCUUUCUUGGGUCAAGAAGGAAUUUUUUUCCUAGUUUGUUG